This 759-nucleotide ribosomal RNA is filed under the name uncultured Pseudomonadota bacterium. RNAcentral describes it as "bacterial SSU rRNA". It matches the Rfam family "Bacterial small subunit ribosomal RNA", at positions 28 to 776 of the family's 1533-position model. The record is from RNAcentral. Lineage: Bacteria; Pseudomonadati; Pseudomonadota.
AUUGAACGCUGGCGGCAGGCCUAACACAUGCAAGUCGAACGGUAACAGGAAGCAGCUUGCUGCUUCGCUGACGAGUGGCGGACGGGUGAGUAAUGUCUGGGAAGCUGCCUGAUGGAGGGGGAUAACUACUGGAAACGGUAGCUAAUACCGCAUAAUGUCGCAAGACCAAAGAGGGGGACCUUCGGGCCUCUUGCCAUCGGAUGUGCCCAGAUGGGAUUAGCUUGUUGGUGGGGUAACGGCUCACCAAGGCGACGAUCCCUAGCUGGUCUGAGAGGAUGACCAGCCACACUGGAACUGAGACACGGUCCAGACUCCUACGGGAGGCAGCAGUGGGGAAUAUUGCACAAUGGGCGCAAGCCUGAUGCAGCCAUGCCGCGUGUAUGAAGAAGGCCUUCGGGUUGUAAAGUACUUUCAGCGGGGAGGAAGGGAGUAAAGUUAAUACCUUUGCUCAUUGACGUUACCCGCAGAAGAAGCACCGGCUAACUCCGUGCCAGCAGCCGCGGUAAUACGGAGGGUGCAAGCGUUAAUCGGAAUUACUGGGCGUAAAGCGCACGCAGGCGGUUUGUUAAGUCAGAUGUGAAAUCCCCGGGCCCAACCUGGGAACUGCAUCUGAUACUGGCAAGCUUGAGUCUUGUAGAGGGGGGUAGAAUUCCAGGUGUAGCGGUGAAAUGCGUAGAGAUCUGGAGGAAUACCGGUGGCGAAGGCGGCCCCCUGGACGAAGACUGACGCUCAGGUGCGAAAGCGUGGGGAGCAAACAGG